RNAcentral lists this long non-coding RNA (766 nucleotides) under Olea europaea subsp. europaea. Lineage: Eukaryota; Viridiplantae; Streptophyta; Magnoliopsida; Lamiales; Oleaceae. The record is from RNAcentral.
CUAAAUUUACAGAUGAGUUAACUGAUUUCAAAAUCCUAAUUUAUUUUUAAAUUCUACAAACCCAAAUUGGUUGUCACUUUCCCUGUCUUCCACGCCUACCGACAAUGACGAUCGCUGACUGAGAUCCCCUUUCCCUCUCGGUACCCCUCACCCACCUACGCGCGACGAUCGCUGUGUAAUGUGUCGAUUUCUGGACCUUAAAACGCCGAUUGUUAUUUUUGACAGUUCUUUGACUUGGAGUUUCUUCAUGGCCACACUUUAUUCUACACAUGCAACAAUUUUUUUAUUGCUCAUUUCUUCGACAUGGAAUCGUCAAUUGUAAUUUUUUUAUGCCUUACUGUGUUUCCUAUUGAUCUGAGUGAGCCGAAGGCCAAGUCGACCUGCGAAAAUAGCCCAACUCCAGCGAGUCCUUCCUUAGCUAAAACGGCGAGGAUUCAGUCGGCUACCUCACAUACUGUAUACAAUAUGCUGUGAUCGCGGAUCAUUGCUUCCUACGGUGCGGGGUGUGUCGUGAUUAGGCAGGCAAGGAAGAAGAGGUAUUUGGGCAUCUGUGUGGUUGGUUAAACUGACUGAGAUCAGCUUGAUAUUGAGACUCCUUUAUGCUAUUUAUUGGUAUCUUAUGUAACACAUCCAACCAAAUUUACCCUGUAAUUGCACACCAAUUGCUUUAUUUUUAUCUUCUGGAGCACUGUACCCCUGUUGAAAUACUUUGUCUAUGUUGAUACCCUUCAGUUUACGACUACGGUAAAUAUCCCCAAAACUUCUA